UACGGGGGGGGCAAGCGUUGUUCGGAAUUACUGGGCGUAAAGGGCGUGUAGGCGGCCAACUAAGUCCGACGUGAAAGCCCCGGGCUCAACCUGGGAAUUGCGAUGGAGACUGCAAGGCUUGAAUCUGGCAGAGGGGGGUAGAAUUCCACGUGUAGCAGUGAAAUGCGUAGAGAUGUGGAGGAACACCGAUGGCGAAGGCAGCCCCCUGGGUCAAGAUUGACGCUCAUGCACGAAAGCGUGGGGAGCAAACAGG
Molecule: ribosomal RNA, 253 nt
Filed under: uncultured bacterium
Lineage: Bacteria
Description: partial 16S ribosomal RNA
Rfam family: Bacterial small subunit ribosomal RNA
Source: RNAcentral